UUGUCAGCAAUUCUCUGUUUAUCCACAGAACAGGUACAGCAUGGGCAGCAGCCAAGCGGACUCCCAGGCAGUACUGCCCUGCCAAUUUGCUGUAGCCCUGCUCUGGAGGGGUGACCUCUCUGGGCAAGAGGGGAGUUCAGUCUCCACAUACUCCUGCUGCA
RNAcentral lists this small RNA (161 nucleotides) under Chrysemys picta bellii (western painted turtle). Its description in RNAcentral is "TUC338 (ENSCPBG00000002909.1)". The record is from RNAcentral. Lineage: Eukaryota; Metazoa; Chordata; Testudines; Emydidae.